GGCGGCAUGCCUAACACAUGCAAGUCGAACGCGAAAGCGCCUUCGGGUGUGAGUAGAGUGGCGGACGGGUGAGUAACGCGUGGGUAACCUGCCCCAUACAAAGGGAUAGCCACUGGAAACGGUGAUUAAUACCAUAUAACAUCAUAGUGUCGCAUGACACAUUGGUCAAAGAUUUAUCGGUAUGGGAUGGACCCGCGUCUGAUUAGCUAGUUGGUAAGGUAACGGCUUACCAAGGCGACGAUCAGUAGCCGACCUGAGAGGGUGAUC
This 267-nucleotide ribosomal RNA is filed under the name uncultured bacterium. Its description in RNAcentral is "partial 16S ribosomal RNA". It matches the Rfam family "Bacterial small subunit ribosomal RNA", at positions 38 to 305 of the family's 1533-position model. The record is from RNAcentral.